GUCCAGAGAUGGGAAUCGAACCCACAGUGUUCCGCUUACUGGGCAGAUGCCAUGUCAACUAGACUACCCUGGA
This 73-nucleotide transfer RNA is filed under the name Cordylochernes scorpioides. Its description in RNAcentral is "tRNA-Thr". The record is from RNAcentral. Lineage: Eukaryota; Metazoa; Arthropoda; Arachnida; Pseudoscorpiones; Chernetidae.